RNAcentral lists this ribosomal RNA (397 nucleotides) under Clostridioides difficile. Its description in RNAcentral is "bacterial LSU rRNA". It matches the Rfam family "Bacterial large subunit ribosomal RNA", at positions 1613 to 2023 of the family's 2925-position model. Lineage: Bacteria; Bacillati; Bacillota; Clostridia; Peptostreptococcales; Peptostreptococcaceae. The record is from RNAcentral.
AAAAGUCUCUAUCGAGGUUAAAGGUACCCGUACCGCAAACCGACACAGGUGGGUGAGGAGAGUAUCCUAAGGCCAGCGAGAGAACUGUUGUUAAGGAACUCGGCAAAAUGACCCCGUAACUUAGGGAUAAGGGGGGCCACCAUCAGGUGGCCGCAGAGAAUAGGCCCAAGCGACUGUUUACCAAAAACAUAGGUUUCUGCGAAGUCGCAAGACGAUGUAUAGGAGCUGACGCCUGCCCGGUGCUGGAAGGUUAAGGGGAUCUGUUAGAGCAAUCGAAGCAGUGAACUUAAGCCCCAGUAAACGGCGGCCGUAACUAUAACGGUCCUAAGGUAGCGAAAUUCCUUGUCGGGUAAGUUCCGACCCGCACGAAAGGCGUAACGAUUUGGGCACUGUCUCA